This 389-nucleotide ribosomal RNA is filed under the name uncultured bacterium. RNAcentral's name for it is "bacterial SSU rRNA". It matches the Rfam family "Bacterial small subunit ribosomal RNA", at positions 28 to 417 of the family's 1533-position model. The record is from RNAcentral.
GACGAACGCUGGCGGCGUGCUUAACACAUGCAAGUCGAGCGGUAAGGCCCUUUCGGGGGUACACGAGCGGCGAACGGGUGAGUAACACGUGGGUGACCUGCCCUCAGCUCUGGGAUAAGCCUGGGAAACCGGGUCUAAUACUGGAUAUGACUCCAUGACGCAUGUUGUGGGGUGGAAAGCCUUGUGCGGCUGAGGAUGGGCCCGCGGCCUAUCAGCUUGUUGGUGGGGUGAGGGCCUACCAAGGCGACGACGGGUAGCCGGCCUGAGAGGGCGACCGGCCGACACUGGGACUGAGACACGGCCCAGACUCCUACGGGAGGCAGCAGUGGGGAAUCUUGCGCAAUGGGCGAAAGCCUGACGCAGCGACGCCGCGUGAGGGAUGACGGCCU